GGGUUGUGAGGUUAAGUGACUAAGCGUACACGGUGGAUGCCCUGGCAGUCAGAGGCGAUGAAGGACGUGCUAAUCUGCGAUAAGCGUCGGUAAGGUGAUAUGAACCGUUAUAACCGGCGAUUUCCGAAUGGGGAAACCCAGUGUGAUUCGUCACACUAUCAUUAACUGAAUCCAUAGGUUAAUGAGGCGAACCGGGGGAACUGAAACAUCUAAGUACCCCGAGGAAAAGAAAUCAACCGAGAUUCCCCCAGUAGCGGCGAGCGAACGGGGAGCAGCCCAGAGCCUGAAUCAGUGUGUGUGUUAGUGGAAGCGUCUGGAAAGGCGUGCGAUACAGGGUGACAGCCCCGUACACAAAAAUGCACAUGCUGUGAGCUCGAUGAGUAGGGCGGGACACGUGGUAUCCUGUCUGAAUAUGGGGGGACCAUCCUCCAAGGCUAAAUACUCCUGACUGACCGAUAGUGAACCAGUACCGUGAGGGAAAGGCGAAAAGAACCCCGGCGAGGGGAGUGAAAAAGAACCUGAAACCGUGUACGUACAAGCAGUGGGAGCACGCUUAGGCGUGUGACUGCGUACCUUUUGUAUAAUGGGUCAGCGACUUAUAUUCUGUAGCAAGGUUAACCGAAUAGGGGAGCCGAAGGGAAACCGAGUCUUAACUGGGCGUUAAGUUGCAGGGUAUAGACCCGAAACCCGGUGAUCUAGCCAUGGGCAGGUUGAAGGUUGGGUAACACUAACUGGAGGACCGAACCGACUAAUGUUGAAAAAUUAGCGGAUGACUUGUGGCUGGGGGUGAAAGGCCAAUCAAACCGGGAGAUAGCUGGUUCUCCCCGAAAGCUAUUUAGGUAGCGCCUCGUGAAUUCAUCUCCGGGGGUAGAGCACUGUUUCGGCAAGGGGGUCAUCCCGACUUACCAACCCGAUGCAAACUGCGAAUACCGGAGAAUGUUAUCACGGGAGACACACGGCGGGUGCUAACGUCCGUCGUGAAGAGGGAAACAACCCAGACCGCCAGCUAAGGUCCCAAAGUCAUGGUUAAGUGGGAAACGAUGUGGGAAGGCCCAGACAGCCAGGAUGUUGGCUUAGAAGCAGCCAUCAUUUAAAGAAAGCGUAAUAGCUCACUGGUCGAGUCGGCCUGCGCGGAAGAUGUAACGGGGCUAAACCAUGCACCGAAGCUGCGGCAGCGACGCUGAUGCGUUGUUGGGUAGGGGAGCGUUCUGUAAGCCUGUGAAGGUGUACUGUGAGGUAUGCUGGAGGUAUCAGAAGUGCGAAUGCUGACAUAAGUAACGAUAAAGCGGGUGAAAAGCCCGCUCGCCGGAAGACCAAGGGUUCCUGUCCAACGUUAAUCGGGGCAGGGUGAGUCGACCCCUAAGGCGAGGCCGAAAGGCGUAGUCGAUGGGAAACAGGUUAAUAUUCCUGUACUUGGUGUUACUGCGAAGGGGGGACGGAGAAGGCUAUGUUGGCCGGGCGACGGUUGUCCCGGUUUAAGCGUGUAGGCUGGUUUUCCAGGCAAAUCCGGAAAAUCAAGGCUGAGGCGUGAUGACGAGGCACUACGGUGCUGAAGCAACAAAUGCCCUGCUUCCAGGAAAAGCCUCUAAGCAUCAGGUAACAUCAAAUCGUACCCCAAACCGACACAGGUGGUCAGGUAGAGAAUACCAAGGCGCUUGAGAGAACUCGGGUGAAGGAACUAGGCAAAAUGGUGCCGUAACUUCGGGAGAAGGCACGCUGAUAUGUAGGUGAAGCGACUUGCUCGUGGAGCUGAAAUCAGUCGAAGAUACCAGCUGGCUGCAACUGUUUAUUAAAAACACAGCACUGUGCAAACACGAAAGUGGACGUAUACGGUGUGACGCCUGCCCGGUGCCGGAAGGUUAAUUGAUGGGGUUAGCGCAAGCGAAGCUCUUGAUCGAAGCCCCGGUAAACGGCGGCCGUAACUAUAACGGUCCUAAGGUAGCGAAAUUCCUUGUCGGGUAAGUUCCGACCUGCACGAAUGGCGUAAUGAUGGCCAGGCUGUCUCCACCCGAGACUCAGUGAAAUUGAACUCGCUGUGAAGAUGCAGUGUACCCGCGGCAAGACGGAAAGACCCCGUGAACCUUUACUAUAGCUUGACACUGAACAUUGAGCCUUGAUGUGUAGGAUAGGUGGGAGGCUUUGAAGUGUGGACGCCAGUCUGCAUGGAGCCGACCUUGAAAUACCACCCUUUAAUGUUUGAUGUUCUAACGUGGACCCGUGAUCCGGGUUGCGGACAGUGUCUGGUGGGUAGUUUGACUGGGGCGGUCUCCUCCUAAAGAGUAACGGAGGAGCACGAAGGUUGGCUAAUCCUGGUCGGACAUCAGGAGGUUAGUGCAAUGGCAUAAGCCAGCUUGACUGCGAGCGUGACGGCGCGAGCAGGUGCGAAAGCAGGUCAUAGUGAUCCGGUGGUUCUGAAUGGAAGGGCCAUCGCUCAACGGAUAAAAGGUACUCCGGGGAUAACAGGCUGAUACCGCCCAAGAGUUCAUAUCGACGGCGGUGUUUGGCACCUCGAUGUCGGCUCAUCACAUCCUGGGGCUGAAGUAGGUCCCAAGGGUAUGGCUGUUCGCCAUUUAAAGUGGUACGCGAGCUGGGUUUAGAACGUCGUGAGACAGUUCGGUCCCUAUCUGCCGUGGGCGCUGGAGAACUGAGGGGGGCUGCUCCUAGUACGAGAGGACCGGAGUGGACGCAUCACUGGUGUUCGGGUUGUCAUGCCAAUGGCACUGCCCGGUAGCUAAAUGCGGAAGAGAUAAGUGCUGAAAGCAUCUAAGCACGAAACUUGCCCCGAGAUGAGUUCUCCCUGACUCCUUGAGAGUCCUGAAGGAACGUUGAAGACGACGACGUUGAUAGGCCGGGUGUGUAAGCGCAGCGAUGCGUUGAGCUAACCGGUACUAAUGAACCGUGAGGCUUAACCUUACAACGCCGAAGGUGUUU
Molecule: ribosomal RNA, 2931 nt
Filed under: Escherichia coli
Lineage: Bacteria; Pseudomonadati; Pseudomonadota; Gammaproteobacteria; Enterobacterales; Enterobacteriaceae
Description: bacterial LSU rRNA
Rfam family: Bacterial large subunit ribosomal RNA
Source: RNAcentral